GGGGAUAUAGCUCAGCUGGGAGAGCGCGUGCUUCGCAUGUACGAGGUCAGGGGUUCGAUCCCCCUUAUCUCCA
RNAcentral lists this transfer RNA (73 nucleotides) under bacterium. RNAcentral describes it as "tRNA-Ala". It matches the Rfam family "tRNA". From Rfam's summary of the family: Transfer RNA (tRNA) molecules are approximately 80 nucleotides in length. Their secondary structure includes four short double-helical elements and three loops (D, anti-codon, and T loops). Further hydrogen bonds mediate the characteristic L-shaped molecular structure. tRNAs have two regions of fundamental functional importance: the anti-codon, which is responsible for specific mRNA codon recognition, and the 3' end, to which the tRNAs corresponding amino acid is attached (by aminoacyl-tRNA synthetases). tRNAs cope with the degeneracy of the genetic code in two manners: having more than one tRNA (with a specific anti-codon) for a particular amino acid; and 'wobble' base-pairing, i.e. permitting non-standard base-pairing at the 3rd anti-codon position. The record is from RNAcentral.